Non-coding RNA from Rhizodiscina lignyota, 88 nucleotides. The record is from the annotation of a GenBank genome assembly. Lineage: Eukaryota; Fungi; Ascomycota; Dothideomycetes; Aulographales; Rhizodiscinaceae.
AGACCUGUGGCGCAAUGGUAGCGCGUCUGAUUCCAGGCAUUGGAAUGCUGCUUCCAGAAGGUUAUCCGUUCAAAUCGGGUCAGGUUCA